Xiphophorus hellerii (green swordtail) is the source of this 797-nucleotide long non-coding RNA. RefSeq lists it as uncharacterized. The transcript is spliced from 2 exons. The record is from RefSeq and is a predicted model, not a curated record. NCBI's taxonomy places the organism in Eukaryota, Metazoa, Chordata, Actinopteri, Cyprinodontiformes, Poeciliidae.
UGAGACAAAGAGGAAAAAAGGAAGCAAUCACACAGACAGGUUGCAGAUGGCAGCACAGAGAGAGCGGAACCUGAGAAAAUUAAAUAUACCACUGUUCACGAAGUCAAGCAGGGUACAGAUACACACACACACACACACACGCCCACCCACACACACACACCCCGCCUGGUUUGGGGCCAAAUUAGGAAGCUAACUUUCUCCUCUGGUGGGCGCGGCGGAGGCUGAUGACUCACUCGCAUUAAUCUUUCUGACGCUGCUCUCCAGCAGCGGCGAAAGAAGCCAACUGGAGCUUUCCCAUAAGAAAGUUCAAGUAAUGCGUUCUGAUUCUCGCCUUACAAAGCCAUUUUUCAGACUAUGUCACUUAUGAGACCAUGAGUAGGUGAUUCAAGGGGGCAGCAGAGAGGAAAAAGGAGAAAGCGAAGUUGGGGAGAUUAUGAGCAAAGCGGGAACAGGAAGGAAACCUGGGCUGCGGAAGGAGAAGAGAGCUGGCUCAUCUCGGCUACAAAUCCUGGCCUGCUCCGGCGCCUGCGUGCCAAACAAGAGGGAACAAGUGACAGGAAAGUGUUGCAUCUCCUCCGAUGGAGCUCCAAAGUUUAACUUCGCCUUCAGCUUCUCAACUUAUGCAACAAGCACAUUUCAGUGAAGGGUUUAUAAUUUAACCAGGGGGCCACAGACGAAGGAUUGGGGUCAGGGUAGCAGCGAACACCAAAACACUCCUACAACAAUCCUGCAGGACACGCCAACACACGCGUACACACCGAGGAGGUUCUGGAUGCUUCGGCUUCCGUGGUUAAAAA